UACGGAGGGGGCUAGCGUUGUUCGGAAUUACUGGGCGUAAAGCGCACGUAGGCGGCUUUGUAAGUUAGAGGUGAAAGCCCAGAGCUCAACUCUGGAACUGCCUUUAAGACUGCAUCGCUUGAAUCAUGGAGAGGUCAGUGGAAUUCCGAGUGUAGAGGUGAAAUUCGUAGAUAUUGGGAGGAACACCAGUGGCGAAGGCGGGCACCUGGGCCGACACUGACGCUGAGGCGCGAAAGCUAGGGGAGCAAACAGG
Molecule: ribosomal RNA, 253 nt
Filed under: uncultured bacterium
Lineage: Bacteria
Description: partial 16S ribosomal RNA
Rfam family: Bacterial small subunit ribosomal RNA
Source: RNAcentral